GGCAGUGGUGUUUAUAACUAAUUGAUCACAACCAGUUCCAGGUUCCUUUGUUCCUUCUCCAUUUCCACUGCUUCAC
Molecule: small RNA, 76 nt
Filed under: Microcebus murinus (gray mouse lemur)
Lineage: Eukaryota; Metazoa; Chordata; Mammalia; Primates; Cheirogaleidae
Description: Y RNA (ENSMICG00000043293.1)
Source: RNAcentral